This 253-nucleotide ribosomal RNA is filed under the name uncultured prokaryote. RNAcentral describes it as "partial 16S ribosomal RNA". It matches the Rfam family "Bacterial small subunit ribosomal RNA", at positions 524 to 776 of the family's 1533-position model. The record is from RNAcentral.
UACAGAGGUCUCAAGCGUUGUUCGGAUUCAUUGGGCGUAAAGGGCGCGUAGGCGGUGCGGUAAGUCACCUGUGAAAACUCUGGGCUCAACUCAGAGCCUGCAGGCGAAACUGCCGUGCUUGAGUGUGGGAGAGGUGCGUGGAAUUCCCGGUGUAGCGGUGAAAUGCGUAGAUAUUGGGAGGAACACCUGUGGCGAAAGCGGCGCACUGGACCACAACUGACGCUGAGGCGCGAAAGCUAGGGGAGCAAACAGG